GAGCGGUUAGUCCAACAACCAAAGACUAUUAGUUUCGACCUAGUUAAUUGUGGUGAACCCCCACAACCUCUCU
RNAcentral lists this transfer RNA (73 nucleotides) under Rhinatrema bivittatum (two-lined caecilian). Its description in RNAcentral is "tRNA-Arg". Lineage: Eukaryota; Metazoa; Chordata; Amphibia; Gymnophiona; Rhinatrematidae. The record is from RNAcentral.